UAGUCCACGCCGUAAACGAUGGACACUAGUUGUUGGAAAGCUUGACUUUUCAGUGACGUAGCUAACGUGUUAAGUGUCCCGCCUGGGGAGUACGUCCGCAAGGAUGAAACCCAAAGGAAUUGACGGGGGCCCGCACAAGCGGUGGAGCAUGUGCUUUAAUUCGAUGCAACGCGGAGAACCUUACCUGGUCUUGACAUACCAUUGACCGUACUAGAGAUAGUAUUUUUUCUUCGGAAACAGUGGAUACAGGUGCUGCAUGGUUGUCGUCAGCUCGUGUCGUGAGAUGUUGGGUUAAGUCCCGCAACGAGCGCAACCCUUGUCCUUAGUUGCUAGCAGGUAAUGCUGAGAACUCUAAGGAGACUGCCUACGCAAGUAGGAGGAAGGUGAGGAUGACGUCAAAUCAUCAUGGCCCUUACGACCAGGGGCUAGACACGUGCUACAAUGGCUGGGUACAAUGGGUUGCUACUUAGUGAUAAGAUGCUAAUCUACAAAAAACC
This 497-nucleotide ribosomal RNA is filed under the name uncultured bacterium. Its description in RNAcentral is "bacterial SSU rRNA". It matches the Rfam family "Bacterial small subunit ribosomal RNA", at positions 791 to 1283 of the family's 1533-position model. The record is from RNAcentral.